CAGCUUGUCGCCCUUUCCCGGAGGCUGGCAGAUGCGCGUGGUGCGGCUGCUGCGGCUCCGGGCGGCUCUGACGCUGCUCGGGGAGGUCCCCCGCCGCCCGGCCUCCCGGGGUGUCCCGGGCUCGCGCAGGACGCAGAAGGGCAGUGGAGCCAGGUGGGAGAAGGAGAAGCACGAAGACGGGGUGAAGUGGAGACAGCUGGAGCACAAGGGCCCGUACUUCGCACCCCCAUACGAGCCCCUUCCUGAUGGAGUGCGUUUCUUCUAUGAAGGAAAGCCCGUGAGAUUGAGCGUGGCAGCAGAGGAGGUCGCCACUUUUUAUGGGAGGAUGUUAGGUCAUGAAUACACAACAAAGGAGGUUUUCCGGAAGAACUUCUUCAAUGACUGGCGAAAGGAAAUGGCAGUGGAAGAGAGGGAAGUCAUCAAGAGCCUGGACAAGUGUGACUUCACGGAGAUCCACAGAUACUUUGUGGACAAGGCCGCAGCCCGGAAAGUCCUGAGCAGGGAGGAGAAGCAGAAGCUAAAAGAAGAGGCAGAAAAACUUCAGCGAGAGUUCGGCUACUGUAUUUUAGAUGGUCACCAAGAAAAAAUAGGCAAUUUCAAGAUUGAGCCGCCUGGCUUGUUCCGUGGCCGUGGCGACCAUCCCAAGAUGGGGAUGCUGAAGAGAAGGAUCAUGCCAGAGGAUGUGGUUAUCAACUGCAGCAGGGACUCGAAGAUCCCCGAGCCGCCGGCGGGGCACCAGUGGAAGGAGGUGCGCUCCGAUAACACCGUCACGUGGCUGGCAGCUUGGACCGAGAGCGUUCAGAACUCCAUCAAGUACAUCAUGCUGAACCCUUGCUCGAAGCUGAAGGGGGAGACAGCUUGGCAGAAGUUUGAAACAGCUCGACGCCUGCGGGGAUUCGUGGACGAGAUCCGCUCCCAGUACCGGGCUGACUGGAAGUCUCGGGAAAUGAAGACGAGACAGCGGGCGGUGGCCCUGUAUUUCAUCGAUAAGCUGGCGCUGAGAGCAGGAAAUGAGAAGGAGGACGGUGAGGCGGCCGACACCGUGGGCUGCUGUUCCCUCCGCGUGGAGCACGUCCAGCUGCACCCGGAGGCCGAUGGCUGCCAACACGUGGUGGAAUUUGACUUUCUGGGGAAGGACUGCAUCCGCUACUACAACAGAGUGCCGGUGGAGAAGCCGGUGUACAAGAACUUACAGCUCUUUAUGGAGAGCAAGGGCCCCCGGGACAACCUCUUCGACAGGCUGACCACGACCAGCCUGAACAAGCACCUCCAGGAGCUGAUGGACGGGCUGACGGCCAAGGUGUUCCGGACCUACAACGCCUCCAUCACUCUGCAGGAGCAGCUGCGGGCCCUGACGCGCGCUGAGGACAGCAUAGCAGCUAAGAUCUUAUCCUACAACCGAGCCAACCGAGUCGUGGCCAUUCUCUGCAACCAUCAGCGAGCGACCCCCAGUACAUUUGAGAAGUCGAUGCAGAAUCUCCAGACGAAGAUCCAGGCAAAGAAGGAGCAGGUGGCUGAGGCCAGGGCAGAGCUGAGGAGGGCAAGGGCUGAGCACAAAGCCCAAGGGGAUGGCAAGUCCAGGAGUGUCCUGGAGAAGAAGAGGCGGCUCCUGGAGAAGCUGCAGGAGCAGCUGGCGCAGCUGAGUGUGCAGGCCACGGACAAGGAGGAGAACAAGCAGGUGGCCCUGGGCACGUCCAAGCUCAACUACCUGGACCCCAGGAUCAGCAUUGCCUGGUGCAAGCGGUUCAGGGUGCCAGUGGAGAAGAUCUACAGCAAAACACAGCGGGAGAGGUUCGCCUGGGCUCUCGCCAUGGCAGGAGAAGACUUUGAAUUCUAACGACGAGCCGUGUUGAAACUUCUUUUAGGCCUGAGGCUGGAGGAUCGCUUGAGCAGACAUUGAGGGUGCAGUGAGCUGUGAUUGUGCCCCUGCACUCCAGCCUGGGCAACAGAGCAAGACCCCAUCUCAAAGAGAAAGAAAAGUCCCUGACGCCUGCCGUGUCCUUUGAAGCCUCUACCCCGAGCAUGGAGUCUGCUGGGCUGUCACAUCCAAUCAGCGUCCCAGCCUGGACCCCCGGUUCCCGCUCGACAGGGGAGGAGAAACACCUUCGUGUGCUCUGAGGCUGAGGACUUUGGAUGCUUUAGGUACUGAUUUUCUCCUCUCUGCCUGGCUGGAACAUCCGUCUGCAUCGGACAGGCUUCCUUCUGCACCUGUGACCUCACAAGGGCUCUCCUUGGGGAUGCAGGACCAGAGCAGCCCUGAGCAACCGAGCACAGCCAAGGAACAGGCCCCAGGGAGGCCAGGACCCAGGUCCUCACGCCUGCGGCCACAGAAGCACCGUGUCCCUGCAGCUGUGAGCCACCAGGCGUCUGGGUGGGUGGUUACUCAGCACGUGCCAGUAGAGAAACUGGGUCCCAGAGUUGGGGUUGCUGUGGACUGGAUACUUGUCCCCCACCUCCAGUUCACAUGUUAAAGUCCUCACCCCCAGCAAGACAGUGUUGCAGGUGGGGCCUUUGGGAGGGGAGCAGGUUGAGAGAAGAUCCUGGGGGACCCUCACGAUGAGAUGAGCGCCCUCAUGGGAAGAGACACCGGAGCCUCCUCUCCAGGAGCACACACGGGGACAGCCACAUGAGCAAGAGGCUGCUGUCCGUAAGCUGGGGGUGGUCCCUCAACAGGAACUGGGUCUGUGGCACCUGGAGGCUGGACUCCCAGCCUGCAGAGCUGGGAGAAAGAAAUGUCUGCUGUGAAGCCAGUCGGUCUGUGGAAUUUUGACACAGCAGCCUCGUCUAAGACAGGUGCCGGCAGAGCCACCUCGUCUAAGACAGGUGUUGGCAGAGCCACCUCGUCUAAGACAGGUGCCGGCAGAGCCACCUCGUCUAAGACAGGUGCCGGCAGAGCCACCUCGUGUAAGACAGCUGUUGGCAGAAGCAACACCUAAGACGCAGUGCACUGACUGUGAGUGCAGUCUGGGGCUGGAGGCCAGAAACACGGGGAGGAGGCUAUUAGCAGAGGAAACCAUGAUUAGGUAGUAGUGAAAAAUUUGGGUGGAAAAAAAUUGCCUUUGGGCAGGUGCUGUGGCCCGUGCCUCUAAUCCCAGCACUUUGGAAGGCCAAGGUGGGUGGAUCACCUGAGGUCAAGAGUUCAAGACCAGCCUGGCCAACAUGGCAAAACCCUGUCUCUACUAAAACUACAAAAAUUAGCCAGGCGUGGUGGCGGGCACCUGUAAUCCCAGCUGCUCAGGAGGCUGAGACAGGAGAAUCACUUGAACCCGGGAGGCAGAGGCUGCAGUAAGCCGAGAUCGCACCACUGCACUCCAGCCUGAGAAACAGAACCAGACUCUGUCUCAAAAAAAAAAAAAAAAAAAAAAUUGCCUUCAGUAACUUGGAAAUUAGAAAAUGGACCCAGCUAAGCAGAGCUCCAGACAGAGUGGGAAAAAUGUCAGCGGAACGCUCCUCAUGGCACUGGUGAGGCCUGCGAGCGUGAAAUGUGUGAAAGGAGGGAUCGUCUAGUCUGCAGGCGGAAUCUGGAGGACACAGAGCCGGGGCCUGAACUGGCUUGGGAAACAAAACCAUCUCACAUCUUGUCUCUGCAGUCAGCAAAGCAUUUUCUUUUAAAAGUUGUUUUAAAUUUACUUUUAUUUUUUAGAGACAAGAUCUCCCUAUAUUGCUCAAGGGAUCCUCCUGCCUCAGCAUCCUGAUCAUUUGGGACUGUAGGGUGUAUCACCACUGCCUGCAAAGAAUUCAAGUAGUAAGUGGCCUCAGGAUAAAGAUAAAAUCAAGGUUGUGGCCAUAUCCAUUGUCAAGGCCCCAGAAAGGUUUACUAUGUUGGGGCUGGGUGUGGUGGCUCACACCUGUAAUCCCCGCCCUUUGGGAGGCUGAGGUGGGAGGCCAGGAGUUCAAGGCUGUUGUGAACUGAUUGCACCACUGCACUCUAGCCUGAGUAACAGAGCAAGAGCCUGUCUCUAAAAAAAAAAGAAAAAAAUAUGCUGGAAGAUAGUAUAUAGUACCAAUCCUCUCAGCUAGACAAAAGUGUUUCUAAGACCCUAAAGGAUGUUUUCCCACAACAUGCUAACACAUCAUAUGAAACAGAGAAAACACUGACAAAUGUUUAAGUGUAUUUUUUGUCUAGUGGAGAAUAUAAUCUAAGAAACCCACAAGAUUUUGUUUGUUUGUUUUUUUGAGAUGGAGUCUCGCUCUUCUGCCAGGCUAGAGGGCAGUGGCGCGAUCUCGGCUCACUGCAACCUCUGCCUCCUGGGUUCAAGUGAUUCUCCUGCCUCAGCCUCCUGAGUAGCGGGGACUACAGGUGCGUACCACCACACCCAGCUAAAUUUUGUCAUUUUAUCAGGGACGGGGUUUCACCUUGUUGGCCAGGAUGGUCUCAAUCUCUUGACCUCGUGAGCCGCCCACCUUGGCCUCACAGAGUGCGGGAUACAGGCGUGAGCCACCGCGCCCGGCCCGAAACCCACCAGAUUUUUAAGGGCAUUGUGUCAGUUUAAAUGAACAGAGAUGGAAACAGCUGAAAAUGAAGCCUUUGGGUUCCCUCCUUCUACAGGCAGUAAGCAGCUAAGAAAGCUGCUUAGCCUCAAAUACAGGCUAUCGGACAUCUAAAAACACAGAGGAGAGAGACGAAGGGCAGAGCCAAAAUCUGAGGGAAAAAAAAAAGGAUAAUAAUGUCACUUCCAGGGAAAAUGAGGCCCUAAAAAAGACACAGACUCUGCCCCCUUAAUGAGGUCCCGUGGCAACAUGCUGUUGACUGAGUCACAAAAGUACUACAGACUGGGGUCUGCAGUGGACGAGCCCCCACCUCUCUUUUUCAAACGAGAGAGUUACUGUGCUUAUCCUGGGCCUGUCUCAAAAUCCUGUGCUGGGGCAGAGGCAGGUAAUUUUUUCUUUAGUUUAUAGCCUCAAGAGGCAUCUCACACACAUCUGGACCAGAGGAGAAUCAUGAGCUGAUGGCCUCUGAGCUGAGACAGCAGCAGGAAGAGACCUCUGGGUGGCUUGAGUGGGGGGUGGCGAGCACAUUUCACUUGUGGAAGGAAAGUAAGUCACUGUGGCUCCAGAGUGGACCGUGGGAAAUAUCGGACGGUCCCAGGACACGCGGCUCUCUCUGCCCAGCCCUGGGGCUCCGUUGUCACGUGGGGAUGCCCCUCACCACUUUUUUUCUAUGAAACCCCAUUUACAAGAUUCCACUUCUUCCUUUUUUUUUUUUUUUUUUUAGACGGAGUCUUGCUUUGUCACCAGGCUGGAGUGCAGUGGUGUGAUCUUGGCUCACUGCAACCUCCGCCUCCCGGGUUCCAGCGAUUCUCCUGCCUCAGCCUCCUGAGUAGUGGGGACUACAGACACGCACCAUCACACCCAGCUAAUUUUUGUAUUUUUUAGUAGAGGCGGGGUUUCACCAUAUUGGACAGGCUGGUCUCGAACUCCUGACCUCGUGAUCCACCUGCCUCAGCCUCCCAAAGUGCUGGGAUUACAGCACAGUGGCCAGCCCCUUCUUCCUCUUUCUUGGUUUGCUCCCUUGAUUUGGAGCUCCUCCUUUAGUAGGCUCCUGAAAACAUGUAUUUUGAAAAUGAAUUUUUAAAAGUAAGAGUUUGCAUAUCUGAAAAUGUUGUCAUACUGUCACACUUGACUGACCACUUGGGUAGGUAUAAAGUUCUAGGUUGCAAAUUAUUUUCACUUGUAAUUUUCGAAGCAUUGUUCUGUCGUUUUCUAACUUCCAAUCUGCCCUUGGGAAGGGAUUUAUUCCUCAGCCUGUGUGUGUGAUCUGCGCUCUCAGAUCGUCUCUAUGUCCUGGACUGUCUGAUGUUUCACGUCAUGCCUGGAUGUAGGUCGUUCCUUCCAUCUUUGUGCGAGAUAUCAGUAGGUGCUUUUACUCUGGAGAUUCAUGUUUCUCGGUUCUGGGGGAAAAUUAUUUCUCUAAUAACUUCCUUCCCACCAUUUUCUGUUUUUGUUUUCCCCUCCUUGGAAUUCCUGUUAGUCUUAAUCUUUCUAUCCUGUCACCCACCUUCUUGUCUUUUCAUUCUUUCAAACAGAUUUUCUCCACUUUCCACCUUCUUGCUAAUUUAAUUUUGCCCAUUACAUUUCCAUCUCUAAGACAUUUUUAUUAUUUUUUAAUUUUUUUCGAGGUGGAGUCUCACUGAGCCUGAGUGACACCCAGGCUGGGAGUCAGCGGUGUGAUCUUGGCUCAGUGCAGCCUCCGCCUCUCAGGUUGAGUGACGCCCAGGCUGGAGUUGGUGGCACGAUCUUGGCUCACUGCAACCUCUGCCUCCCAGGUUGAGUGAAGUCCAGGCUGGAGUGCGGUGGCGCAAUCUCGGCUCACUGCAGCGUCCGCCUUCCAGGUUCAAGCGAUUCUCGUGCCUCAACCUCCCAAGUAGCUGGGAUUACAGGCGCAGACCACCACACUUGGCUAAUUUUUGUAUUAUUAAUAGAGAUGGAGUUUUGUCAUGUUGGCCAGGCUGGUCUCGAACUCCUGACUUCAAGUGAUCCGCCCGUCUCUGCCUCCCGAAGUGUUGGGAUUACAGGGGUGAGCGACCACGCCUGGCCCAUCAUUAUUUUUGAGUUUCCUUUUUAAAACAAUGUUCUGGGCUUCACAUGGCACCUGAGCUUGCCUUUCCUCCCCCUGGUUGACUCACGCCUCCCUCCUGUCUGUCUUCAUGUGUGUGACUCUGGGUCACGGAUUUUCCUCCUAAUCUUUAUGUGUGUUUGCGUGUAUGACAGUCUCAGUCUGUCACGCAGGCUGGAGAGCAGUGGCGCAAUCUUGGCUCACUGCAACCUCCGCCUCCCAGGUUCAAACCAUUCUCCUGUCUCAGCCUCCCGAGUAGCUGAGAUUACAGGCAUGCACCACCACAACUGGCUGAUUUUUGUAUUUUUAGUAGAGACGGGGUUUCACCAUGUUGGCCAGGCUGGUCUCAAACCCCUGACCUCAGGUGAUCCACCCACCACGGCCUCCCAAAGUGCUGGGAUUACAGGCAUGAGCCACUGCACCCAGUCCUAAGCUUUACCUGUCAACCGGCAAUUCUAUACAGCUUACUGUGGUUAGGGACAUAUUUAGUUUUGUUUCCACCAUCUUAAUUUGCCCAGUUUGUUUCUGAUUUUUUUUCUUUUUUGAGAGAGGGUCUCACUCUUUUGCCCAGGCUGGAGUGUAGUGGUGUGACUACAGCUCACUGCAGUCUCGAGCUCCCGGGCUCAGGUGAUCCUCCCACCUCAGCCUCCUAGGUGGCUGGAACUAUAGGCUUACUUACUGUAUUUUUUGUAGAGACAGGUUCUCCCCAUGUUGCCCAGGCUGGUUUCGAACUCCUGGGCUUAAGCGAUCCACCCACCUUGGCCUCCAAAGUGCUGGGAUUACAGGUGUGAGCCACAGCACUCAGGCCCAGCCUGAUUUUUUUUCUUAUUUUUUAAUUGACAGAAGUUUGUGUUCAGUUCAUUUAUUUAUUUUAUGGGCUCUCACUGUGUUGUCCAGUCUGGAGUGCAGCGGCACAAUCACAGCUCACUGCUGCCUCAAACUCCUGGUCUGAGGAUCCAAGCCGAGAUCCUCCUGCCUCAGUCUCCCAAGCAGCUGGGACUACAUUUUAAAUCACAGUGUUUUAUUCUUUUUAUUGGAUUAGAGAUGUAUAGACUGGUUACACUCUUUUAGUAAUUAACAUUAAAUUACACUAUGCACAUUUAACUUAUCAAAGUCAAAUUAAACACUAUCUUACACCCUCUUCCCAACAACCGGAGGGUCUUAGAACAUUUCUGUCCCUUCUAAUUUACAUGCUAUUGUUGUCUAGUAUUUUAGUUGACACUAUUCUUUUAUAUAUACAUAUGUAUUCAUAUUUAUAAUUUUAUUUGCUUGCCAUUCCAUCUUAUAUCUAAGACCAUCACUCGGCUCAUUUUCCUUUAUUUAUUUAUUUUUUUAAGAUGGAGUUUUGCUCUUUUUGCCCAGGCUGGAGUGCAAUGGCGUGAUCUCGGCUCACUGCAUCUUCUGCCUCCCAGGUUCAAGGGAUUCUCCUGCCUCAGCUGCCCGAGUAGCUGGGAUUACAGAUGUGGGCCACCAUGCCCAGCUAAUUUUGUAUUUUUAGUAGAAAUGGGGUUUUGCCAUGUUGGCCAGGGUGGUCUCAAACUCCUGACCUCAGGUGAUCCACUGCCUCAGCCUCCCAAAGUGCUGGAAUUACAGGCGUGAGCCACCAUGCCCAGCCCUAUGUUGCCUAGGCUGGUCUUGAACUCCUAGGCUCAAGUGAUCCUCCCCCUUAGGCCUCCCAAAGUGUUGGGAUUAUAGGCAUGAACCACUGCACCUGGCCUGUUUUUCAUUUCCAAAAGUUCUUUAAGGAGUCCUGCCUAUUCACGCAUGACAGUAUGUACCCUACAGCUUUCUCAUCACUGACUGCGCGACUUCUUUGAACACCUCACACAUAACUAUCCUCUCACCUGUAUGAUGACAGUUUCAGGAUCUGCGUUUCUUUGUGGCUGACAGCGGCUGCCUGCUGUUUCUGUUGGCCCUCAGUCAGCUGACUCUCCUUGUGUGCUUGGGGAUCUUUGCAAGCUGAAUGCCUGACUUAACGAGCAGGGAUGAGGCUAAGCCAGGUAAGCUUCCUUCAGGGAGCAGGUGCUUUGACCGCUACUGGUACCUGAGGAUCUUGGCUCAGCAUGGGAGACACAGGCUCAUCUUCCCACCUCACCACCGGCCCAGGGGUCAGGAGCUUAAUUAACGGUGGGGCCAUCAAAUCCAUUCUGAGAGCACCCCUGCCCCUACAGGCUGCACAACCCUAAGCUCAUGCAUUUUAACAAAAUCGGUGCCAAGAGCCCUCAAAGCAACUGUCUUGGAAGCGGCAGCCAGCUCAGGACCCAGAAUUCUUCCCAAUUAGUCCUUACCUGGGCAGAGAACUGCAGGAGGUGGUCACAAGCCACACCCAGACCAGGAUGGGCGAAUCCUGCCACUGCACCCCAGGGCUCACGGCCAGUAGGCAGCUCACAUUUCCCUGUCAUCCCAAGAAACUCAAAGCCCACCUCGCUUAAUUCAUGAUGACAGAGCUUUACUAUACGCCCCCAAAAACGCUCCCCAAAGAGACACUUCUACUUUUCUAUCUAGAACAUAACAUUUUAAAAAAUGAAAAUAUUUUACAGGAAAUAACAUUUGUACAUACUCAUAACAGUCUCAAAGAGAAAACGAUUCCUCUACCCACAGAACGCUUCUGAGAUCACAUGUGUGUAAGCCUUUCCCUCCACACCAACCAGCUCUCCAACUCUCUCUCAGACACCAACGCGAUGUCCUACAAUUUAACUCGAUUCUGUCACCAAUUGCCCGGAGCUAGUGCAGAACCCACAGGGUAAGGGGUCAGUCCCACAAGACCACCCCCACUUCAGAUGCCAAGUGCAGACGGUGGGCCCCGGGGACCCCACGACCCCCUUCUCAGGUUCCAUAAUUUUUUUUUUUUGAGAUGGGUCUCUCUGUCGCCCAGGCUUAAAGUACAGUGCCCAGAUCUCCGCUCACUGCAACCUCCGCCUCCCAGGUUCAAGUGAUUCUCCUGCCCCAGGCUCCCAAGUAGCUGAGAUUACAGGCGCACGCCACCACGCCCAAUUAAUUUUUUGUAUUUUUAGUCGAGAUGGGGGUUUUGCCAUGUUGGCCAGGAUGGUCUUGAUCUCUUGACCGUGUGAUCCGCCCGCCUCGGCCUCCCAAAGUGCUAGGAUUACAGGCGGGAGCCACCGCACCCGGCCAAGUUCCAUAAUUUUCUAAGCACACAGAAGUCGGGACCAUAUGAAUCGGCUGUGAAAAGGCGUUGAAAUACAUGGAUGAACCACCGACCCGCAAGGUACGGGGGAGGACGCGAGGCUUCCAUGCCCUGUCUGGGCGCCCCCUUCCUAACUGCCCCCCCACCCCGCCUUCACCAACCCGAAGCCCGAGGCCCUCAUCUCAUGCAGGGUUUUGAUGGAGGCCUGGUUGCGGAGGAAUGACCGAUUCAAUCACCGGCCACUGCCCCGCAGCAGCUGACCGUGGGAGGCGGGGAGUCUCGGAGACGGGCGGCCGGCCCGGGACAGACCCCUGAGACCUCCCCGCCUCUGGGAAUCGCCUCCCGCGGGCGGCGCUCGCCUUCCCCGAGCCCUGCCUCUCCUGAGUGCUCCCAAGCCAAGGCGGAUGCAGGCCUGGCGAGGCUUUCGCAGCCCGAGAACCAGGCGCGCAGCCGGCUGUUACUUCCUCACCGCGCACGGGGCGGACAGGAGCCUCCCCCGGCCUCGGCCUCGCGCCCACCAGGCCGCCCGCAUCUCUUCCGCCGCAGCCCCGGCUCACUCGGCGCCAUGCACCCGCCGGUGCUGGAUGAGGUGGAAGCUCAGGCGGAAGGCGCGGCCGCACUCGGUGCAGCGGAACGGCUUCUCGCCCGUGUGGAGCCGCUGGUGCCGGAAGAAGCCCGACAGCGCCCGGAACGCGCGCCCGCAGUGGCCGCACUGGUGGGGCUUCUCCCCGCUGUGGAUGCGGCGGUGCUCGCGGAGGAAGGAGCUGCGGCUGAAGGCGCGGCCGCAGUCCUGGCAGGCGAAGGGCCGCUCCCCCGUGUGCACGCGCUGGUGCUGGAGGAGGUUGGAGCUCUGGCUGAAGGCCUGGCCGCACUCCCGGCACUCGUACGGGUUCUCCCCGUGGUGGGUCCGCCGGUGCCGGACCACGUUCGAGCUGUGCAGGAAGCGCUUCCCGCACUCGCCGCACGCGUACAGCCUCUCCCCGGUGUGGGUGCGGCGGUGCUUGGCGGCGUCCGACCUCUGGCCGAAGGCCUUGCCGCAGUCGGCGCACGCGUAGGGCUUCUCGCCCGUGUGCACGCGCUGGUGCCGGAGGAGGUUGAAGCUCUGGCCGAAGGCCUUGCCGCAGUCGGCGCACGCGUAGGGCCUCUCCCCGCUGUGCGCCCGCUGGUGCCGGACCACGUGCGAGCUGUGGAUGAAGGCCUUCCCGCAGUCGCUGCACUCGUACGGUUUCUCCCCCGAGUGGAUGCUCCGGUGCUUUGCCGCGUCCGAGGAGCACUUGAAGCUGCGGCCACAGGCGCUGCACGGGAAAGGCCGCCCCUUCCAGCUGCCCCCGCCCUCUGCCCCGGGGCCUGCGUUCGGAGGGACGUCUGACUCGCGGCCACUCUGUCCUCCAGUUUUCUCAGAAAUGACCGGGCCUCGAGGGGAACCUCCGGGCCUCUCUCUGGCUUCCUCGUUUUCACAAAGGCCAAGAGACCCCAACGCCCGGGGAGGCCCCCCUCUGUGGCCCUCUCCCUCGGGAGCGCCUGCCUCUGCAGCAGGCUCCGUGCUCUGAGCUGCCUGCACCUCGGCUGACCGGCUGCCACUCGGGGCCUGCGCCAGGAAAGCAGCCUUCACAGCUGAAAAAGAGGCCAGACAGGAACGAUUUAGAUGUAAGAGAACGUGAGUCGAGGGUGGCUCUGGCAAUCGUGGUGACGACAGAGUGACAGUGAUGGUGACGUCAGUGUGCCACAGACACCUUUGAUUUUCCCAUUCAGUUCCCGCCUAGUUUUUUUUAGUUUUUUCUCCUCUCCACCUUCUUAACCCCCAUGGUUAUGAGGUAGACGAGAAUCCUGCACUGCCACUCCAGAAACGGGGAUGGGGACCGGGUGUGGGGACUCACACCUGUAUCUCCGCACUGUCGGAGGCUGAGGCAGGAGGACCACUUGAGACUUGGAGUUCAAGACCAGCCUGGCCAACAUAGUGAGAUCCUGUCUCUUAAAAAAUAGAAUUUUAAAAAUAUACAAACAGAAACGAGGCUAAACGGAGCUAGAAACAGGGCUAAACCUCUAGCCUCGGCCCACCCAGUCCUGGGAGGGGAGGGGACAGAAACGCAGGCUCUGGGCACUGCCUUACUCUGCGGGACAGCUGGGAAAGCAAAGGAGGCUGGAGACAGCUGGCAGCAAGCCAGGACGGGAGCGAGGCAGAUGCAGCAGGAAGCCCGGGGACAGUGGCACCCAACAGAGCCCACGGCCCAGCUCUGCCUUCUGUCUGUCCUUCCUUCCUUUCUUUCUUGUGAGCCAGGGUCUUGCUCUAUCACCCAGGCUGGAGUGCAGUGGUACCAUCAUGGCUCACUGCAGCCUCAGGGCUCAAGGGAUCCUCCCUCCGCCUCCCAAGUAGGUGGCGCACCUCCAGGUGAGCACCACCACACCAGGCUAUUUUAAAAAUUUUUUGUAGAGACAGUGUUGUCAAUGUGUUGCCCAGGCUGGUCUUGAACUCCUGGGCUCAACCCUCCUCCCACCUGAGCCUCCUAAAGUGCUGGGAUUACAGGUGUGAGCCACCACACCCAGCCAUGGCCCCAGCUCAUUCCUUUUACCUUGGACUCCCUGAGACAACGCGGACUCCUUAAAACUGCCCCCAAACACCAAACUCUAAGGGCUUCUGUUACGUGCAAACAGGAGCGUCCUCACUCAGACAGAAAUCUGGACCAAGAGGCCAGUCGCGGUGGCUCACGCCUGUAAUCCCAGCACUUUGGGAGGCUGAGGUAGGCAGAUCACGAGGUCAAGAGAUCAAGAUUAGGUGAAACCCUAUCUCUAAUAAAAAUACAAAAAUUAGCUGGGUGUGGUGGCGCACACCUGUAGUCCCAGCUACUUGAGAGGCUGAGGCAGAAGAAUCACUUGAAUCCAGGAGGUGGAGAUUGCAGUGAGCUGGCGCCACUGCACUCCAGCCUGGCGACAGAGCAAGACUUUGUCUUAAAAAAAAAAAAAAAAGAAAGAAAAGAAAAGAAAAGAAAUCCGGAACAAGAGCUGGAAGCAGCAACCCACGUCCCAUGUGGGCUGGGCAGCGGCGGCGCUGGCCAGGCUGAGCAACCCCAUCCAGGCUGCGUUAUCAAUGGCCCUUGUCUGGCAGUCAAGCCACUGGUUAGAUUUGGUUCCACUGGCUCACAGGGACAGACCAUGUGGCCAUUUAGAAAAAAGGCUUAAGGGGUAGGGGUGAAACCCUGGGACAUGAGAAAGCUGGCAACUGAGCUUGGCCUGCAUAGGAGGCAGGAGGGCUCAGCCAGGAGGGGCAGCAGGAGGAGGGGGGCCGCCAAGGCCAGCACAGCAACUGAGGGGGACUUCUCAGUCUGCAGGCAGUCCGCUGUGGCAGCAGAGGAGAAGCGGCUGAGUCCCGGCUGCACCUCUCAAGAAUGCGGAGGGCGCAGAUAAGACGGAAGCUCCUGUGGAGGUGGGGGUGGGGCAGGGAUGUUCCGGGGCAGAUGAGAGCAGGCUGCUGUCAACAGUCCCCACCUCUCUCUGCCCUUGCAGACCCUUGACACUGAGCAGCCAGGGGGCGGGAGACGCUCGGGGUGGCGCGCGGAACAGAAGCCCCUUGCAGAGGCCCAGCCCUGCUCUUGUGGCUUGCAGACUUGGAAGUUCAAGAACCGACUCAAAGGUAUUGCUUAUGAGGAAAAAGAACCAAGACUGUGGUGAGAAGGGGCCACAUACAUGGUGGAGCUCUACUGGAUCCAGCCUGCAGGCCCUGAGGACGCCUCUCCGAUGGAGGCAAUCCCAGACCCCACAGCAGGGCCUGCACUGCCCACGCCAUCUCCCGGGCUGUUGCUGUGACACACUCUCAGGGUGGCCCCAAAACAUAAAGCAGUGUUCUCAUGGGGGCGACUUUGUCCUGAGGGCACAUUUGACAAUGUGUGGAGAUGUUUUGGAUUGUCACAACUGGGAGGGGGCCCUACUGACACCAAGUGGGCAGAGGCGAGGGUGCUGCCCAACGUCCUACAACACACAGCAUGGCCCCUCAACAAAGACUCAUCCAUUCCAAAACAGCCACGGUGCCAAGGUUGAGAAGCACUGAGAGAGAGACCUUCCCAGAGGCAGAGCCUGGGGCUGCCAGACUUUCUAACCAAAAGCUCUCAGUUCACUGGCAAAGACAGUCAUCAAGCAGAUGCCCAAGAGAUCUGAUGGGCCUGCGUUUACCUCCCUCCCUCACCCUGCGCCCAAGGACACAGUAUAUGCUCUGCGUCAGUGACUGAGACAUGGUGUUUUUCCUGUAUUCCUGUUCAAUUCCUGCCCUGGAACUCUGGGCCCCACUGUGGACAUGUCCCCUCACCUGCAAGGGACUCCAUCAGGGUACUGCUCUCUUUAGCACCUGUGGGCUCUCCUCCUGGCUCCAUCUUGCAGAACACCAGCAGUUGGAACAAUUUCUGCUUAGGUAAAAGAAAAGGAAAAUAAAUCACAGCCAGGGCUAGGUACAGGGCCCAGGGGCAGUGAGGUCAGAAUGCCUUCAGAGGAAACUGUCAGAACAGGCCCUGUGGGAGCUGCAUCACCCAGCUGGGCCCACUCCUGUCACUAGCAAUCAAGGUCCUGGCUCAACAGACACUCCCAGAAGCGGGUGUUCUGUUCUGUGGGAUGCCCAGGAACUCUGGUCCAGGCUCUGCGGGUCCCCCUCCACCCAGGGCUGACGCAGAGCACAGGUGGGCGUGGCCACAGCUUCCUAGCUCCAUGCUGAGCAAGCCCGCACCCUCCAGCAGUCUUCAAAUGUCUAGAGAAAUUCCCAUGGGUUUUAAAAUUUUCUUGGUAGUUAUAAGGAUUUGAAUAUAAAAAUGUUAAACCAGAAAAAAAGAACAACUUAUUUGAAUGGUAAAGUUUUGGAAUGAGGAAUGAUUUUUCUAAGCCUGACAUCAGAUGUCUGACAAAUUCAACUACAUAAAAAAAUUUAAUGUAAAAAAACAAAAACCAAAAAGGGAGGAAUACGUGCAAUGCAAAGAUUCAUCCCUAUCUGAUAAAGACCUCUAUAUAUUAAUGAGAAAGGAAGGAAAAUUGGCAAAGAUCAUGAAUAGGUAACUCACAAAGAAGAAAAACCAGCAGGCAAUACAUUUUUUUAGGUCUCACCUCAAGUGCAAUUAAGAAAUGUAAUUUGGCUGGGUGCUGUGGCUCACAGUUGUAAUCCUAGCACUUCAAAAGGCUCAGGAUGGAGGACUGACUGAGUACAAGAGUUCCUGACCAGCCUGGGCAACAUAGUGAGACCCCGUCUCUACAAAAAAUCAAAAAAUUAGCCAGGUGUGAUGGUGGGCGUCUGUAGUCCCAGCUAACUAGGGAGGCUGAGGUGGGAGGAUUGCCUGAGCCCAGGAGGUCUAGGCUGGGGUGAACCGAGAUUUCGCCACUGCACUCCAGCUGGGGGUUGGAGUGAGACCCUGUCUAAAAAAAAUAAGUAAAUAAAGUGAUUAAUCAGUAAAUUUAAUUUAAGCCGCCUGUAAUCCCGCCUGCCAGGGAGGCUGAGCGGGAGGAUCGCUUGAGCCCAGGAGUAGGAGGCCAGCCUGGGAAACAUAGCGAGACCCCGCCUCUUUUACAAAAAGGUAAUUUAAAGUGCAAUUUUUUAGUCUGGAAGCAGAUUUUUGCAAGUACCUUACCGGCAAGAAUUAGGGAACAGGCCCCCCUGUUCACAGCUGGGAAGAAGCUCGAUGAGCUGGGCCGGUGGGAAAUUUGACAACUUACAAAGGCCUGAAGACGCGCAGCGGGGACUCAGCUCGCAGGAAGCCCCGCACGUGUCGGACCCCGGGUACGCACCUGCAGGGCCGCCUCCCCCACGCCGCGCCCGAGAGCGGCUGGGGCCUGCACUGCAAGGAGAGGGCGGGACGCGCGGGCCACGGGGGCGGUGACCGCCCCGUUCUCUCGGCCGCGCCCUCAGCCCUCCCGAAUCGACACCCCAGCAAGAGAAGCCGAGGCCUCAGCGUCCAGAGCAGCUGGACUGCACCCGCUACGGUCCCCGCCCCGUCGCGCGCCGGAAACGCCACAGUCUCCACCCCUGGCCCGCCCCCUCGGCACUUCCGGCGACGCUCUGGGCAGCGGGAGGACAGUGCGCUCGGCGGCGGGAGAGCGGGACGGCCCAGCCGCGGCGCCUUCAGCUCAUCGGUUGCCCGCAGGCGCCGGCCGAGUCCUUCCUGCCGGGCAGGAAGCCCUGCCUCGUGGGGGGCAAGGUCGAGCCGUUGGCGCGCCGGGAUCUGGCUCGAGCCAACUGAGGACCGGGUACCCGCAGGACGUGUCAGGAGGUGUCGAAGGCCCGCUGUGGGGAGGCCACGCGCGUUCCCGUCCGUUCCCCGCGGCGCCCCGCGCUUGUCCCGGGUCCCGCUCGGCUCACGGGACCCUCCAGGCCCCCGGGGCUGUGGCAGCACGCGGGUCCCGAGCGUGGGCUUCCUUGGGGCCGAGAGCUUGGAGCGCCCCAGGCGCUGCCCCCCGCCUCCCUGCAGGACGCCGCCCUCGCGUCUCCGCUGCAGAGAAGCCCUUGCUGCCCGCCUCUCGCGUGCUCUGGGCUCUUUCUCACCAGGGACCGAGCUCUCAUUCGUUCAGCCUUCCCCGGGCAAGAUGCACCUCCUGUCCAAGUCUCUCGCCCUUCCGCCUGCCGCAGACCGAAGGUCACGCAUCUCCAGCUGGAAUGCUGCGAAAGUGACGCUUUUCAUCAUGGGUGCAAAGUGUACAGCUGCAAUGUGGACUUGUUCCCUCUUACAACGAGUAGACAGACCCUCUCUGGGGAGAAAAGAAAGGCUGAAGAACCGAUUCCCAUGAGAGAACCCUAAGAAGACAGCAACAGGGGGCCAGACGCGCCCCUGGAACUGGACCCUGGACUGGGGCGGGAGGGCCACAGCCUUGGGAGCCCAGGUCCCUGCCCGCGCCUCCGACAGUCCCGCGCCGCCGCCACCGGGCAUCUGCCUCUGGGCCUCCACAUCUCGUGCCUGGAACCGCGUUCAUUGCGCACUGCACCAGUAAACACCUGAACACUCCCACCACAUGCUGCACGUUUAUUUGUAACAAAUUAGAAGCUGUUGUAAAAGAUAAAAAUUAAAACACUUAGACUGGG
Molecule: RNA transcript, 16743 nt
Organism: Pan troglodytes (chimpanzee)
Lineage: Eukaryota; Metazoa; Chordata; Mammalia; Primates; Hominidae
Gene: TOP1MT
Gene name: DNA topoisomerase I mitochondrial
Exons: 16
Source: RefSeq, marked provisional